Oryza sativa Indica Group (long-grained rice) is the source of this 204-nucleotide microRNA precursor. It matches the Rfam family "MIR812 microRNA precursor family". The record is from Rfam. Lineage: Eukaryota; Viridiplantae; Streptophyta; Magnoliopsida; Poales; Poaceae.
AAAAAAUUAAAUCAUGGGUUUACGUGCCAACGUUUAACUGUCUGUUUUAUAUGAAAUUUCACUAUAAUUAGUAUUUUCAUUAUUGUUAAAUGAUAAAACAUGAUUAAUACUUUAUGCGUGACUUAUAUUUUCAAUUCUUUUAUAAUUUUUUCAAAUAAGACUGAUGGUCAAACGUUGGACACCGAAACCAGCGUUCGUCUUUUU